GACGAACGCUGGCGGCGUGCUUAACACAUGCAAGUCGAACGGAAAGGCCCUGCUUUUGUGGGGCGCUCGAGUGGCGAACGGGUGAGUAACACGUGAGUAACCUGCCCUUGACUUUGGGAUAACUUCAGGAAACUGGGGCUAAUACCGGAUAGGAGCUCCUGCUGCAUGGUGGGGGUAGGAAAGUUUCGGCGGUUGGGGAUGGACUCGCGGCUUAUCAGCUUGUUGGUGGGGUAGUGGCUUACCAAGGCUUUGACGGGUAGCCGGCCUGAGAGGGUGACCGGCCACAUUGGGACUGAGAUACGGGCGAGACUCCUACGGGAGGCAGCAGUGGGGAAUAUUGCACAAUGGGCGGAAGCCUGAUGCAGCAACGCCGCGUGCGGGAUGACAGCCUUCGGGUUGUAAACCGCUUUCGCCUGUGGCGAAGCGUGAGUGACGGUAAUGGGUAAAGAAGCACCGGCUAGCUACGUG
This 468-nucleotide ribosomal RNA is filed under the name uncultured bacterium. RNAcentral's name for it is "partial 16S ribosomal RNA". It matches the Rfam family "Bacterial small subunit ribosomal RNA", at positions 28 to 507 of the family's 1533-position model. The record is from RNAcentral.